GUGCCAGCCGCCGCGGUAAUACGUAGGGACCGAGCGUUGUCCGGAAUUAUUGGGCGUAAAGCGCGUGUAGGCGGCUUGCCAAGUCCGGUGUGAAAUGUCGGGGCUCAACCCCGGAACUGCACUGGAAACUGGCUUGCUUGAGUCCGGAAGAGGAGACUGGAAUUCCUGGUGUAGCGGUGAAAUGCGCAGAUAUCAGGAAGAACACCCGUGGCGAAGGCGGGUCUCUGGGACGGUACUGACGCUGAGACGCGAAAGCGUGGGGAGCAAACAGGAUUAGAAACCCCAGUAGUCC
This 292-nucleotide ribosomal RNA is filed under the name uncultured bacterium. Its description in RNAcentral is "partial 16S ribosomal RNA". It matches the Rfam family "Bacterial small subunit ribosomal RNA", at positions 505 to 796 of the family's 1533-position model. The record is from RNAcentral.